UAAAAUGUUUGGCUUUGAGCAGGG
Molecule: non-coding RNA, 24 nt
Filed under: Cricetulus griseus (Chinese hamster)
Lineage: Eukaryota; Metazoa; Chordata; Mammalia; Rodentia; Cricetidae
Source: RNAcentral